UACGUAGGGUGCAAGCGUUGUCCGGAAUUAUUGGGCGUAAAGAGCUCGUCGGCGGUCUGUCGCGUCGGCUGUGAAAACCUGAGGCUCAACCUCAGGCCUGCAGUCGAUACGGGCAGACUAGAGUUCGGUAGGGGAGACUGGAAUUCCUGGUGUAGCGGUGAAAUGCGCAGAUAUCAGGAGGAACACCGGUGGCGAAGGCGGGUCUCUGGGCCGAUACUGACGCUGAGGAGCGAAAGCGUGGGGAGCGAACAGG
Molecule: ribosomal RNA, 253 nt
Filed under: uncultured bacterium
Lineage: Bacteria
Description: partial 16S ribosomal RNA
Rfam family: Bacterial small subunit ribosomal RNA
Source: RNAcentral